UCCAAAACGUUUAGCAACUGUACCCUCCAAGGCACUGUGGGAGGUGGCAAGAUAAAGACAGCACUGUCUACAAGGAGCUCACCAUCCUGUGAAAGACACAGCAGGAGAUUGUUUAAAGUCUAUCUUGAACGUCAACAAUUAAAAAAAAGGCACCAUUAAAAAAUAUCCAAAUGAGUGACCCUGACUGAAUACAGGCCCUGGACCCUUCCCUCAAGUCUCACCAGUUCUGCUCUCCCAUCAAGCAUCAGAUGCCAUGUUGUACUGGGGGAAAGUAGCCCUUGUGCUCCCCCCACCACCACCCCG
RNAcentral lists this long non-coding RNA (303 nucleotides) under Homo sapiens (human). Its description in RNAcentral is "HSALNT0251121". The record is from RNAcentral. Lineage: Eukaryota; Metazoa; Chordata; Mammalia; Primates; Hominidae.